GUUGCCUGCUACACUCAUCUAGUUAAAAUUUCAGGACACUAAGUACUAGCUGCCUUUCAACAAUGAUGACAAAGAAAAGAUAUAUUCUCAUGUUUUCUUUCUAAAUCAAGUCUGAAUGUGCCAUUUUUCUCAAAGUACCAUCAUAGUUAAGAUUUAUAGCUCAGUUCUAUGUUCCAAGUUUAAGCACUAUGCGAGUUACUAAUGAUAAUACACUAAGCAAGUUUCUUUUGACAACCAAGGUCAACCAAAUUAAC
RNAcentral lists this long non-coding RNA (254 nucleotides) under Hordeum vulgare. RNAcentral's name for it is "long non-coding RNA (HVUL_LNC010030)". The record is from RNAcentral. Lineage: Eukaryota; Viridiplantae; Streptophyta; Magnoliopsida; Poales; Poaceae.